GACGAACGCUGGCGGCGUGCCUAAUACAUGCAAGUCGAACGCUUCUUUCCUCCCGAGUGCUUGCACUCUAUUGGAAAGAGGAGUGGCGGACGGGUGAGUAACACGUGGGUAACCUACCCAUCAGUGGGGGAGAACACUUGGAAACAGGUGCUAAUAUCGCAUAACAGUUUAUGCCGCAUGGCAUAAGAGUGAAAGGUGCUGUCGGGUGUCGCUGAUGGAUGGAUCCGCGGUGCAUUAGCUAGUUGGUGAGGUCACGGUUCACCAAGGCCACGAUGCAUAGCCGACCUGAGGGCGUGAUCGGCCACACUGGAACUGAGACACGGCCCAGACUCCGACGGGAGGCAGCAGUAGGGAAUCUUCGGCAAUGGACGAAAGUCUGACCGAGCAACGCCGCGUGAGUGAAGAAGGUGUUCGGAUCGUAAAACUCUGUUGUUAGGGAAGAACAAGGACGUUAGUAACUGAACGUCCCCUGACGGUAUCUAACCAGAAAGCCACGGCUAACUACGUG
This 508-nucleotide ribosomal RNA is filed under the name uncultured bacterium. Its description in RNAcentral is "partial 16S ribosomal RNA". It matches the Rfam family "Bacterial small subunit ribosomal RNA", at positions 28 to 507 of the family's 1533-position model. The record is from RNAcentral.